GAUGAACGCUGGCGGCGUGCCUAAUACAUGCAAGUCGAGCGAACAGAUAAGGAGCUUGCUCCUUUGACGUUAGCGGCGGACGGGUGAGUAACACGUGGGUAACCUACCUAUAAGACUGGGAUAACUUCGGGAAACCGGAGCUAAUACCGGAUAACAUUUGGAACCGCAUGGUUCUAAAGUGAAAGAUGGUUUUGCUAUCACUUAUAGAUGGACCCGCGCCGUAUUAGCUAGUUGGUAAGGUAACGGCUUACCAAGGCGACGAUACGUAGCCGACCUGAGAGGGUGAUCGGCCACACUGGAACUGAGACACGGCCCAGACUCCUACGGGAGGCAGCAGUAGGGAAUCUUCCGCAAUGGGCGAAAGCCUGACGGAGCAACGCCGCGUGAGUGAUGAAGGGUUUCGGCUCGUAAAACUCUGUUAUUAGGGAAGAACAAAUGUGUAAGUAACUGUGCACGUCUUGACGGUACCUAAUCAGAAAGCCACGGCUAACUACGUG
Molecule: ribosomal RNA, 497 nt
Filed under: uncultured bacterium
Lineage: Bacteria
Description: partial 16S ribosomal RNA
Rfam family: Bacterial small subunit ribosomal RNA
Source: RNAcentral